This 390-nucleotide unclassified non-coding RNA is filed under the name Hevea brasiliensis (rubber tree). The record is from RNAcentral. Lineage: Eukaryota; Viridiplantae; Streptophyta; Magnoliopsida; Malpighiales; Euphorbiaceae.
AAACAAUGGUGUGUUUACCCACAAAGUUUACUGCAGUGAAUAAGAUCUUGGCAACAUUGUACCUUUUUUAGUAGAAAGUCAUUUAAUUGGAUAAAGGAUUUUAUAAUUAAUUUAUUUAGAAAUUAUAAGCUAGAGAAUGUAACAGCCCAAGCCCACUUGGCUCAAAAUCGCUAACCCAAGUUGCAUCCUGUAGCUGGGCUUAGACUAUUGAAACUACUAUACCUUUUCUUAAUUAUUUUCCAAAGACAUGGGAUGGCGUGUUACAGCAUCAUGCAAUCUAUAUCAUCUGAUGUUAGUGACUAUAUUUUCUUACAUUUUAUUUCUGUUAACCUACAAUUCAUCUUGACUUUCAUCUUAUUUUCUCUAGGAUUGUGGUUUCAACCGUAUGCA